RNAcentral lists this unclassified non-coding RNA (226 nucleotides) under Hevea brasiliensis (rubber tree). The record is from RNAcentral. Lineage: Eukaryota; Viridiplantae; Streptophyta; Magnoliopsida; Malpighiales; Euphorbiaceae.
AUUGCAUUUAAUCGAGAAAUAUAAUUGUCCAGCUGGUUCCCUGGUUGAUCUGCCUCAACUAAUAGAUUCAUCUCCUCUCGAACAAUGUCCAUUGUUUCCUCCACUUGUUUCCGAUGCGCAUUCACAAGAUCUUCCUCAUCCUUUAAGAGAGCAUUCAGAUCAUCAUCCGAGUUUGAAUACUUUGCCUCUGUUCUAGGUGGCUCCUUCCACUUUGUCUGAGCAUUUG